GGGCGUUUAGCUCAGCUGGUUCAGAGCAUCUGCCUUACAAGCAGAGGGUCGGGGGUUCGAAUCCCUCUGCCCCCA
RNAcentral lists this transfer RNA (75 nucleotides) under Rikenellaceae bacterium. Its description in RNAcentral is "tRNA-Val". It matches the Rfam family "tRNA". From Rfam's summary of the family: Transfer RNA (tRNA) molecules are approximately 80 nucleotides in length. Their secondary structure includes four short double-helical elements and three loops (D, anti-codon, and T loops). The record is from RNAcentral. Lineage: Bacteria; Pseudomonadati; Bacteroidota; Bacteroidia; Bacteroidales; Rikenellaceae.